GUAGGGCGCAAGCGUUAUCCGGAUUUAUUGGGCGUAAAGGGCUCGUAGGCGGCUCGUCGCGUCCGGUGUGAAAGUCCAUCGCUUAACGGUGGAUCUGCGCCGGGUACGGGCGGGCUGGAGUGCGGUAGGGGAGACUGGAAUUCCCGGUGUAACGGUGGAAUGUGUGGAUAUCGGGAAGAACACCGAUGGCGAAGGCAGGUCUCUGGGCCGUCACUGACGCUGAGGAGCGAAAGCGUGGGGAGCGAACAGGAUUAGAUACCCUGGUAGUCAAGGGCG
This 276-nucleotide ribosomal RNA is filed under the name uncultured Bifidobacteriales bacterium. Its description in RNAcentral is "partial 16S ribosomal RNA". It matches the Rfam family "Bacterial small subunit ribosomal RNA", at positions 527 to 802 of the family's 1533-position model. The record is from RNAcentral. Lineage: Bacteria; Bacillati; Actinomycetota; Actinomycetes; Bifidobacteriales.